UACGUAGGGGCUAGCGUUACCCGGAAUUACUGGGCGUAAAGGGUGCGUAGGUGGUUUCUUAAGUCAGAGGUGAAAGGCUACGGCUCAACCGUAGUAAGCCUUUGAAACUGGGAAACUUGAGUGCAGGAGAGGAGAGUGGAAUUCCUAGUGUAGCGGUGAAAUGCGUAGAUAUUAGGAGGAACACCAGUUGCGAAGGCGGCUCUCUGGACUGUAACUGACACUGAGGCACGAAAGCGUGGGGAGCAAACAGGAUUAGAUACCCUGGUAGUCCCUGAGCGGG
RNAcentral lists this ribosomal RNA (280 nucleotides) under uncultured prokaryote. Its description in RNAcentral is "partial 16S ribosomal RNA". It matches the Rfam family "Bacterial small subunit ribosomal RNA", at positions 524 to 803 of the family's 1533-position model. The record is from RNAcentral.